This 243-nucleotide unclassified non-coding RNA is filed under the name Tremella sp. RNAcentral's name for it is "partial contains 5.8S ribosomal RNA, internal transcribed spacer 2, and large subunit ribosomal RNA". The record is from RNAcentral. Lineage: Eukaryota; Fungi; Basidiomycota; Tremellomycetes; Tremellales; Tremellaceae.
CGCACCUUGCGCCUUUUGGUAUUCCGAAAGGCAUGCCUGUUUGAGUGUCAUGAAACCUUCAACCCCCGGGUUUCCGGGUGGCUUGGAUUUGGGCGUUGCCGGUCGGCUCGCCUCAAAAGUGUCAGUGGGAUAGGCCGUUGCCUGACGUGAUAAGUUUCGUCUCGCCCCGUGCCGACGCCCGCUCAUAACCCCCAUGUUUUGUGCUCUGACCUCAAAUCAGGUAGGACUACCCGCCGAACUUAA